RNAcentral lists this ribosomal RNA (583 nucleotides) under Aspergillus oryzae. RNAcentral's name for it is "LSU rRNA". It matches the Rfam family "Eukaryotic large subunit ribosomal RNA", at positions 69 to 668 of the family's 3401-position model. The record is from RNAcentral. Lineage: Eukaryota; Fungi; Ascomycota; Eurotiomycetes; Eurotiales; Aspergillaceae.
CAGGCCAUGCCUCAGUACGGCGAGUGAGCGGCAAGAGCUCAAAUUUGAAAGCUGGCUCCUUCGGGGUCCGCAUUGUAAUUUGCAGAGGAUGCUUCGGGUGCGGCCCCUGUCUAAGUGCCCUGGAACGGGCCGUCAGAGAGGGUGAGAAUCCCGUCUGGGAUGGGGUGUCCGCGCCCGUGUGAAGCUCCUUCGACGAGUCGAGUUGUUUGGGAAUGCAGCUCUAAAUGGGUGGUAAAUUUCAUCUAAAGCUAAAUACUGGCCGGAGACCGAUAGCGCACAAGUAGAGUGAUCGAAAGAUGAAAAGCACUUUGAAAAGAGAGUUAAAAAGCACGUGAAAUUGUUGAAAGGGAAGCGCUUGCGACCAGACUCGCCUCCAGGGUUCAGCCGGCAUUCGUGCCGGUGUACUUCCCUGGGGGCGGGCCAGCGUCGGUUUGGGCGGCCGGUCAAAGGCUCCCGGAAUGUAGUGCCCUCCGGGGCACCUUAUAGCCGGGAGUGCAAUGCGGCCAGCCUGGACCGAGGAACGCGCUUCGGCACGGACGCUGGCAUAAUGGUCGUAAACGACCCGUCUUGAAACCACGGACCA